CCUGCCGUCUACUCUUGGCCAGCCUUCUGAAAGGAAGAUUAAUCCAGGAUGGGAUCAUGAGUUCACAUGUCCGCAUGAUUAAAGGUAUUUUCCGGUAGACGAUGGGGAUGCGUUCCAUUAGAUAGUAGGCGGGGUAACGGCCCACCUAGUCAACGAUGGAUAGGGGUUCUGAGAGGAAGGUCCCCCACAUUGGAACUGAGACACGGUCCAAACUCCUACGGGAGGCAGCAGUGAGGAAUAUUGGUCAAUGGGCGAUGGCCUGAACCAGCCAAGUAGCGUGAAGGAUGACUGCCCUAUGGGUUGUAAACUUCUUUUAUAAAGGAAUAAAGUCGGGUAUGCAUACCCGUUUGCAUGUACUUUAUGAAUAAGGAUCGGCUAACUCCGUGCCAGCAGCCGCGGUAAUACGGAGGAUCCGAGCGUUAUCCGGAUUUAUUGGGUUUAAAGGGAGCGUAGAUGGAUGUUUAAGUCAGUUGUGAAAGUUUGCGGCUCAACCGUAAAAUUGCAGUUGAUACUGGAUGUCUUGAGUGCAGUUGAGGCAGGCGGAAUUCGUGGUGUAGCGGUGAAAUGCUUAGAUAUCACGAAGAACUCCGAUUGCGAAGGCAGCCUGCUAAGCUGCAACUGACAUUGAGGCUCGAAAGUGUGGGUAUCAAGCAGGAUUAGAUACCCUGGUAGUCCACACGGUAAACGAUGAAUACUCGCUGUUUGCGAUAUACGGCAAGCGGCCAAG
This 727-nucleotide ribosomal RNA is filed under the name uncultured bacterium. Its description in RNAcentral is "bacterial SSU rRNA". It matches the Rfam family "Bacterial small subunit ribosomal RNA", at positions 125 to 851 of the family's 1533-position model. The record is from RNAcentral.